This 870-nucleotide ribosomal RNA is filed under the name uncultured archaeon. RNAcentral's name for it is "bacterial SSU rRNA". It matches the Rfam family "Archaeal small subunit ribosomal RNA", at positions 4 to 882 of the family's 1478-position model. The record is from RNAcentral.
CUGGUUGAUCCUGCCAGACCCGACUGCUAUCGGAUUGGGACUAAGCCAUGCGAGUCAACUCCGCAAGGGGUGGCGCACGGCUCAGUAACACGUAGUCAACCUACCCUGGGGACGGGGAUAACCUCGGGAAACUGAGGCUAAACCCCGAUGGGCCAUGGCUCCUGGAAUGGGCUAUGGCUGAAAUCUACAUGGCCCCAGGAUGGGACUGCGGCCGAUCAGGUUGUUGGUGGGGUAAUGGCCCACCAAGCCUAUAACCGGUGCGGGCUCUGAGAGGAGGAGCCCGGAGAUGGGCACUGAGACAAGGGCCCAGGUCCUAUGGGGCGCAGCAGGCGCGAAACCUCCGCAAUGGGCGAAAGCCCGACGGGGUCAGUCCGAGUGGUUCCCGCUGAGGGAACCUUUUGCCAGCUGUAAACAGGCUGGCGAAUAAGGGGUGGGCAAGUUUGGUGUCAGCCGCCGCGGUAAUACCAGCACCCCGAGUGGUCGGGACGAUUAUUGGGCCUAAAGCAUCCGUAGCCGGCCCAGUAAGUCCUCCGUUAAAUCCAACGGCUCAACCGUUGGGCUGCGGGGGAUACUGCUGGGCUAGGGGACGGGAGAGGCGAGGGGUAUUCCCGGGGUAGGGGUAAAAUCCACUGAUCCCGGGAGGACCACCAGUGGCGAAGGCGCCUCGCUAGAACGUGCCCGACGGUGAGGGAUGAAGGCUGGGGGAGCGAACCGGAUUAGAUACCCGGGUAGUCCCAGCCGUAAACGAUGUAGGCUCGGUGUUGGGCUGCCUCAGUGGCAGCCCAGUGCCGCAGGGAAGCCGUUAAGCCUACCGCCUGGGGAGUACGGCCGCAAGGCUGAAACUUAAAGGAAUUGGCGGGGGAGCACCAC